GCGGAUGUGUUGUAACUGGUAGCCAAGCCAGACUUAGGAUCUGGUGUCGCAAGACGUGUGGGUUCGAGUCCCCCCAUCCGCA
Molecule: transfer RNA, 82 nt
Filed under: Bacteroidota bacterium
Lineage: Bacteria; Pseudomonadati; Bacteroidota
Also listed under: 2 other names
Description: tRNA-Leu
Rfam family: tRNA
About the family: Transfer RNA (tRNA) molecules are approximately 80 nucleotides in length. Their secondary structure includes four short double-helical elements and three loops (D, anti-codon, and T loops).
Source: RNAcentral